RNAcentral lists this ribosomal RNA (497 nucleotides) under uncultured bacterium. Its description in RNAcentral is "bacterial SSU rRNA". It matches the Rfam family "Bacterial small subunit ribosomal RNA", at positions 340 to 848 of the family's 1533-position model. The record is from RNAcentral.
UACGGGAGGCAGCAGUGGGGAAUUUUCCGCAAUGGGCGCAAGCCUGACGGAGCAAUACCGCGUGAGGGAUGACGGCCCUUGGGUUGUAAACCUCUUUUAUCAAGGAGGAAGUUCUGACGUGUACUUGAUGAAUAAGCAUCGGCUAACUCCGUGCCAGCAGCCGCGGUAAGACGGAGGAUGCAAGUGUUAUCCGGAAUCACUGGGCGUAAAGCGUCUGUAGGUGGUUCGAAAAGUCCACUGUUAAAAAUUGAGGCUUAACUUCAAAGAUGCCGUGGAAACUUUCAAACUAGAGUAUGGUAGGGGUAGAGGGAAUUUCCAGUGGAGCGGUGAAAUGCGUAGAUAUUGGAAAGACCACCGAUGGCGAAGGCACUCUACUGGGCCAUUACUGACACUGAGAGACGAAAGCUAGGGGAGCAAAUGGGAUUAGAUACCCCACGUAGUCCUACGCUGUAAACGAUGGAUACUAGAUGUUGUGUGUAUUGACCCAUGCAGUAUCG